Molecule: transfer RNA, 72 nt
Filed under: Camelus bactrianus (Bactrian camel)
Lineage: Eukaryota; Metazoa; Chordata; Mammalia; Artiodactyla; Camelidae
Also listed under: 2 other names
Rfam family: tRNA
About the family: Transfer RNA (tRNA) molecules are approximately 80 nucleotides in length.
Source: Rfam by way of RNAcentral
GAGGGUAUAGCUCAGUAGUAGAGUGCGUGCUUAUCAUACACGAGGUCCUGGGUUCAAUCCCCAGUACCUCCA